GCUGAUGAGAACCUGAAUAGGAGUUUAUUGAUCUUGGUAUGUUUUUAAUUUUUUUAUUUCUUUUUCUUUUUUUUUGUCCACACUGAUUAGCAGAACUUGCUUUGGUUAAUUUUUUUGGUCUUAGAUCAGUUGGUUGGAUUUCUUGUGGUGGAAUUUGUCCACCUAGGUUCAAUUCUCGACUUGGCACGGGUGUUUGUAUUUUUCCCGGAUUUAUUCCAGGCGCUACGCUUUCAGUAGUAGGCAACGUCUCCGUAAAAUAGCGAGACGUCUAUGGUGAUUUUUAGGGUAAGUGUACAUACGUGUUGUAGACGCUAUAUUGUACUGUAUAAUUCUAAAAACAAUUCCGUCCGCUUCUCCAAGUGUUUCCAAAACUUACUCCUGAUCUUACCCAUUAACUCCUGAUAUUUCCACACUUGAGAAAAAAUGAUAACAAGUCUAUGAGGGGAAGUGUAAAAAAAUAAAAAUAACUUACUCCUGAUCUUACCCAUUAACUCGUGAUAUUUCCACACUUGAGAAAAAAUGAUAAUAAGUCUAUGAGGGGAAUGUAAAAAAAAAUAACUUACUCCUAACCUUACCCAUUAACUCCCGAUAUUUCCACACUUGAGAAAAAAUAAUAACAAGUCUAUGAGGGGAAACGUAAAAAAUAAAAAUAAACCGAAAAUCUCAAAGGCAGCUUCCCUAAUGUUAGCGGACAGGAAAAAUGAAGAUUUUUUUUUUCUCUUUAGGCCUUGUUUAGUUCGGGAGUAAAAAGUUUUUGGGUGUCACAUCAAAUGUUUCAUAGGAUAUCAGAAGUAGUAUUCGGAUACUAAUAAAAAAACUAAUUACAUUACUCGUCUGGAAAUCGCGAGACAAAUUUUUUAAGCCUAAUUAAUCUGUGAUUAGCACAUGUUGGUUACUGUAGCACUUAAGGCUAAUUAUGGACUAAUUAAGCUUCGUCUCGUGAUUUUUAACCAAACUAUGUAAUUAGUUUAUUUUUUUAUCUAUAUUUAAUGCUUUAUGUAUGUGUCUAAACAUUCGAUGGGAUGAGUGAAACCUUUUUGGAUUAUAGCGAUUAGUGCCUAAUCAUGGACGGCUUAAAAGAUUCGCCUUUCAAAAUAUAUACAAACUAUGUAAUUAGUUAUUCUUUAUCUAAUUUAAUGCUCUAUGUAUGUUUCUAAAUAUUUGAUAAAAUAAGGUGAAAAGUUUUUAGGUGAGAACUAAACAAGAACUAAAAUAUAUAGAAGGUUUUGCUUGAAAUGCCUUGUGCUGACCUGCCUCCUGUCGGCUCAUAGACCUGAAAGUCUCUGCAGCCAUUAGAUGCAAGUUGGAAGGUGGAGAUUGAGACAAAGUUACAUUGUAACUUUGCUCUAUAAAGUCACUGAAUCUGGCUCCAUUUCGGACAUAGACCUUCAUAUACACGAGUGCACUCUCACCUCUAUGAACACACGCACGCACACUCUAUCCCUAUGAGGCACCUCCGAAGAACCAAAUUGGACCAGCAAAUCUCGAUAUUGACGAAAUCACCAUAGACAUCACUAAAAGUAUAGAGCCGUUAAAUCCUAAAAUAAAUCAAAAAAAUGUGAGUACUCGUGUCAAGUCGAAGACUUCAAUCCGGGUGGACAGGUUCUACCAUAAGUAACCUAACCAGCUGAUCUAUGAUCAGUUCACCUUGUUCAUAGAUCUUGAAAGU
This 1669-nucleotide long non-coding RNA is filed under the name Sorghum bicolor (sorghum). RNAcentral describes it as "long non-coding RNA (SBIC_LNC013702)". The record is from RNAcentral. Lineage: Eukaryota; Viridiplantae; Streptophyta; Magnoliopsida; Poales; Poaceae.